This is a non-coding RNA of Mycena metata, 94 nucleotides long. The record is from the annotation of a GenBank genome assembly. NCBI's taxonomy places the organism in Eukaryota, Fungi, Basidiomycota, Agaricomycetes, Agaricales, Mycenaceae.
GCCUCUGUGGAUCAGUGUUAGGUCACCUCUCCCAAGUAUUCAAUUUGCAUAUCCAGUGUAAGAGGAGACGUGGGUUCGAAUCCCACCAGAGGCA